UGAAAUAUAAAAUAAAAAAUUAAAUAUUAAAAUUUCUAUAUAAACUUUUCUAUACUAGAUGUACACUUUUCUAUACUAGGCCUUACAUGCUACUUUCAUAGGGUAGAGAAAGCUUGUUCACUUUGCAGGAAAUAAUCAGAAUAUCUAUGACUGUGCUACGAUACAUAUGUAGUGCCUACUUGUAUAGGGUUGGCAAUGCUGUUGCAGCUAUAGCAUACAAUGGAACAGUGGUAGAGCUCACAGGUACAUCUGUAGUGGUAAUGGAAACACCCAUAUAGCUGCCACUUAGAAUAGGCAGGCUUUGCUUUUGCAGUAAUAGAAUAUAAUGGUACAGUUGUAGGGGUCACAUGUACAUCUCUAGUGUUAAUGGGCACACCCAUAUAGCAGUCACUUCUAUAGGGUAGGCUUUGCUUUUGCAGUUAUAGAAUAUGAUGGGAUGGGACAGUUGUAGAGCUCAGCCGAACAGCGGUACUGGUAAUGGGCACACCCAUAUAGCUGUCAAUUUCAUAGGGUUGGAAAAGUUUUGGCACAUAGCAGAAAAAAAUAUAGCUUAAAACAAGUGUGCCACGGUACAUGUGUAGUGCCCACUUUUCUAUACUAGAUGUACACUUUUCUAUACUAGGCCUUACAUGCUACUUUCAUAGGGUAGAGAAAGCUUGUCCACUUUGCAGGAAAAAAUCAGAAUAUCUAUGACUGUGCUACGAUACAUAUGUAGUGCCCACUUGUAUAGGGUUGGCAUUGCUGUUGCAGCUAUAGCAUACAAUGGAACAGUGGUAGAGCUCACAGGUA
This 789-nucleotide long non-coding RNA is filed under the name Ananas comosus (pineapple). Its description in RNAcentral is "long non-coding RNA (ACOM_LNC017113)". Lineage: Eukaryota; Viridiplantae; Streptophyta; Magnoliopsida; Poales; Bromeliaceae. The record is from RNAcentral.